UACGUAGGGGGCAAGCGUUGUCCGGAAUCAUUGGGCGUAAAGCGCGUGUAGGCGGCCCGGUAAGUCCGCUGUGAAAGUCGGGGGCUCAACCCUCGGAUGCCGGUGGAUACUGUCGGGCUAGAGUGCGGGAGAGGCGAGUGGAAUUCCUGGUGUAGCGGUGAAAUGCGCAGAUAUCAGGAGGAACACCAAUUGCGAAGGCAGCUCGCUGGAACGUAACUGACGCUGAGGCACGAAGGCCAGGGGAGCAAACGGG
RNAcentral lists this ribosomal RNA (253 nucleotides) under uncultured bacterium. RNAcentral describes it as "partial 16S ribosomal RNA". It matches the Rfam family "Bacterial small subunit ribosomal RNA", at positions 524 to 776 of the family's 1533-position model. The record is from RNAcentral.